This 869-nucleotide ribosomal RNA is filed under the name uncultured bacterium. Its description in RNAcentral is "bacterial SSU rRNA". It matches the Rfam family "Bacterial small subunit ribosomal RNA", at positions 605 to 1472 of the family's 1533-position model. The record is from RNAcentral.
AGGCUCACCUUGAGCUUGCAUCGGGUACGGGCAGACUAGAGUGUGGUAGGGGUGACUGGAAUUCCUGGUGUAGCGGUGGAAUGCGCAGAUAUCAGGAGGAGCACCGAUGGCGCAGGCAGGUCACUGGGCCACUACUGACGCUGAGGAGCGAGAGCAUGGGGAGCGAACAGGAUUAGAUACCCUGGUAGUCCAUGCCGUAAACGUUGGGCACUAGGUGUGGGGCUCAUUCCACGAGUUCCGCGCCGCAGCUAACGCAUUAAGUGCCCCGCCUGGGGAGUACGGCCGCAAGGCUAAAACUCAAAGGAAUUGACGGGGGCCCGCACAAGCGGCGGAGCAUGCGGAUUAAUUCGAUGCAACGCGAAGAACCUUACCAAGGCUUGACAUACACCGGAAUCAUGCAGAGAUGUGUGCGUCUUCGGACUGGUGUACAGGUGGUGCAUGGUUGUCGUCAGCUCGUGUCGUGAGAUGUUGGGUUAAGUCCCGCAACGAGCGCAACCCUCGUCCUAUGUUGCCAGCACGUUAUGGUGGGGACUCAUAGGAGACUGCCGGGGUCAGCUCGGAGGAAGGUGGGGAUGACGUCAAAUCAUCAUGCCCCUUAUGUCUUGGGCUUCACGCAUGCUACAAUGGCCGGUACAAAGGGCUGCGAUACCGCGAGGUGGAGCGAAUCCCAAAAAGCCGGUCUCAGUUCGGAUUGGGGUCUGCAACUCGACCCCAUGAAGUCGGAGUCGCUAGUAAUCGCAGAUCAGCAACGCUGCGGUGAAUACGUUCCCGGGCCUUGUACACACCGCCCGUCAAGUCACGAAAGUCGGUAACACCCGAAGCCGGUGGCCUAACCCCUUGUGGGAUGGAGCCGUCGAAGGUGGGAUGGC